CUGCUUUUCUGAGCUUUUCUGAGUUUCUUUUCUUUUUCUCUUUUUAAUGAUGAUUGACAGGUGUUGUGGAUUGAAUGUGGAUGGCACCAUUUAUGGAGCCGGAUCAAGCCGAAUCUCAUUUCAACUACAAGUUUUAAAGCCAGUCCUUCAGAAAUAACAAGUUGGGGCCGAACCCCUUGGCUUUAUUCUGUCUCUGCUUACUACAACUCCUGCAGCUCAACUACGUUUGAGUUUCUCCUUCAGCCCUUGUAAAAGCAUCAGUCACCUCAGACCUGACCUGUAGCAGCUCUUCUUGCUGCCAACUUGCAGUAAAAUUUAUUGCACUGUUUUAUCAGAUGACAUGAAACAAUGCCAGCAAUUUCUCCAGUGCUAUCUAUAUGUGAUCAAACAGCACUAAAGUUACGCACACACUGAGCAAAGAUAUGCUGGUUCCUCUUGAAUAUUUUUGACCUAUAAAGUCUACUGGAAGCAUACUUGUUUGACAAGAGGCAAAUAACAGAUCUUUCAGCCAGAAGCUUGUCAAAAAGAAUGCUUGACAAGCCAGCCUUCAAAAAUGCUGGGAAAAAGAAUCUGAUUUUAUACUGCACAACUCUGGAGUAUCAUUUGAUUCAGAGGAACUGUGCUGUUAAUGGCUCUGCAAAUGCCUGUUUGUCUCCAUGUGAAGGAAGAUGGAUGUGUGAAGAGUCACCUAAGUUCCAGGGAGAAACUGAGCAAGACAGAUUAGUCCCACCUCAGCCUGACACCUGGGGCACGUCCUUAUCUAAGAGGGUAAAUGGAUCAGAAUGUUACUACCCGUUUAUUUAUUCUCCUUCUGUUUGGAGACUUUCCCUGAUUAAUUACUCCCUAGUAAUUGCUGCUGUUAACUAAUGUCAAACCCAAUUAACCUGGAGUCCCUUCAUCCAGUACCUCCACCAUCCCUCUGCAAAGAGGAGAAGGUCAUCAGCUAGGAGGUUCUGAGGAUGGCCACACUUUACCCAUUCGUUUAUUUGCUUUGGGUUUUGUUUGCUAUUCCUGC
Long non-coding RNA from Struthio camelus australis, 1015 nucleotides. The record is from Ensembl. Lineage: Eukaryota; Metazoa; Chordata; Aves; Struthioniformes; Struthionidae.